Small nucleolar RNA from Tachyglossus aculeatus (Australian echidna), 138 nucleotides. NCBI's taxonomy places the organism in Eukaryota, Metazoa, Chordata, Mammalia, Monotremata, Tachyglossidae. The record is from RefSeq and is a predicted model, not a curated record.
ACCCUCUCAGGAUCACACCUGGAGAGUUUCCAGUGCUCUCCCAGUCUCAGUUACUGGAGGGAGAGUCAAGCAGAAGCAUAAUCUUUCCAUUCCUAGCUUGGCCAGUGGCUAGCAAGUGGAAAGCAAUCUGCUUCAAGU